UGGGGAAUAUUGCGCAAUGGACGAAAGCCUGACGCAGCGACGCCGCGUGAGGGAUGAAGGUUUUCGGAUCGUAAACCUCUGUCAGAAGGGAAGAAACCGCACUGUGCUAAUCAGCAGUGCCUUGACGGUACCUUCAAAGGAAGCACCGGCUAACUCCGUGCCAGCAGCCGCGGUAAUACGGAGGGUGCAAGCGUUAAUCGGAAUUACUGGGCGUAAAGCGCACGUAGGCUGCUUUGUAAGUCAGGGGUGAAAUCCCACGGCUCAACCGUGGAACUGCCUUUGAUACUGCUUAGCUUGAAUCCGGGAGAGGGUGGCGGAAUUCCAGGUGUAGGAGUGGAAUCCGUAGAUAUCUGGAGGAACAUCAGUGGCGAAGGCGGCCACCUGGACCGGUAUUGACGCUGAGGUGCGAAAGCGUGGGGAGCAAACAGG
RNAcentral lists this ribosomal RNA (429 nucleotides) under Fusobacteriota bacterium. RNAcentral's name for it is "Fusobacteria bacterium partial 16S ribosomal RNA". It matches the Rfam family "Bacterial small subunit ribosomal RNA", at positions 355 to 776 of the family's 1533-position model. Lineage: Bacteria; Fusobacteriati; Fusobacteriota. The record is from RNAcentral.